CUGGAACGCGCUUCGGCGCACCCAGAAACCCUUUGUGAACUUAUACCUUACUGUUGCCUCGGCGCAGGCCGGCCUCACCGAGGCCCCUCGGAAACGAGGAGCAGCCCGCCGGCGGCCAACCAAACUCUUGUUUCUUAGUGAAUCUCUGAGUAAAAAAAACAUAAAUGAAUCA
This 172-nucleotide unclassified non-coding RNA is filed under the name uncultured Phomopsis. Its description in RNAcentral is "sequence contains ITS1". The record is from RNAcentral. Lineage: Eukaryota; Fungi; Ascomycota; Sordariomycetes; Diaporthales; Cytosporaceae.